AUGAGGGUCUUUCUCUGUCUGUAUGUUUCUCUCUAUAUCUGUGUGUACGUGUGUCUAUGUAAGUGUGUGUGUAUAUCAGUAGGUGUUAUCCCUUGUCUCUGUCCUAUCUGUAUCAGGCAGCAGAGCCGUAUUGCGGUCCUGGUGACCAACCUCAGUGGCCCCAACCUUCAGCGGCUUGUGGAGGCUGCCUGCUGUCUCUACGAGCUGUCCCACUCCCUCCACACCCUACCUGAUCAUCUUCCUGUCUGGACAGAGGCCCAAAUUCAGUCAGUCCCACAGUUCUGUCAAUGGAGUGGACCUACCUGCCAUUGUCUCUCCCAGCUCGUCUCAGCGAACCACGCAGCAGGGAGAAUCAUCCCUGCACUUCCCUCCUGCUGACACUUGGUGGUGGUGUUGCUAAAGGGAGUAUAGAGGAGAGAAUGGAGCUGGUGAGUUGUCAAUGAAUCUAAAUGCUUUCAAAAUUAUUAUUUCAAUCCAAACAAUAAAAGCACAUGUGUUGUGACUGUGUGGCUGAUAGACAUAGACCAACUGCACCAGAAUGUAAGGAAUCCAUUUGAUGAAAUUAAUUUAUAUGUAGAUAACUUAGGCUACUGUCAUAAUCAACAUAUCUGCUCCUCCUCUCUCUCUCUUUCUCUCCCCCUCUCUCUCUCCAGUUGAUCUGGACCCUGCUGCCCUGGGUGGGGUGCUGUUAUCUGGGCCCCUAGGGGUCCUGCAGACCCAACUAAAAGAUAGCCGUCUCCUAGAUGCUCUGUGUGCGUUUGCUCAGGUCUUCCUCCAGACCCAGAGGGUCUGGGUCCUCAACAACCACACAGGUUAAACAAGGCUGUGUGUGUUUGUGUGUGUCUGUGUCAGUGGAGGCUGGUGACUCGAAACAUUUAGGAGCAUGGGUAUAGGCGCGUAACAGUAACAUACAGUAAUGAGAGAAAAUUGAUAGGGGUACUCAUAGUGCUUGGAGAGGAAACAUUCAAUGUUCCAGUGGCGUUGACAAUGGUAGUGGAGUGGAGAUCACUUCUUAAUCAGGGAACAGAGGGCAUCCCGAUUGGCGCAGUGGUCUAAGGCAUUGCAUCGCAGUGCUAGCUGUGCCACUAGCAAUUCUGGGUUCGAGUCCAGGCUCUGUCCCAGCCGGCCGCGGACGGGAGACCUCUGGGCCGGUGCACAAUUGGCCCUGCAUCGUCCGGGUUAGUGGAGGGUUUGCUUGGCAUCGUGCACUAGUGACUCCUGUGGCAGGCCGGGCACAGUGCACGCUGACAUGGUCGCCAGGUGUAUGGUGUUUCCUCUGACACAUUGGUGCGGCUUCCGGGUUAAGUGGGCGUUGUGUCAAGAAGCAGUGCGGCUUGGUUGGGAUGUGUUUGGAAGGACGUACGGCUCUCGACCUUUGCCUCUCCCGAGCCCGUACAGCGAUGAGACAAGACUGUAACUACCAAUUGGAUACCACAAAAUUGGUGAGAAAAAAGGGUAAGAAAUAUGUUUAAAAAAUCAGGAAACAGGAGGGGACUGUAAAAACAAAAAGCAGAUACAUUCCAUUACAGCUGCGCCAUUGUAGAUUUGAACAAGAGUUUUUCCUUUUCUGUUAACCUAACCAGGAAGUCUCUGGACCCUAUAAGGUAUGACAGUGAUUAAUCAGUUUUAAAAGGGUUUAUAAAGGCUAUGAUGGGACCAGUUUAUCCUAAUCAGGUCACAUGGUUAUAAAAAACUGGGUGGGGAAAACCCUGUCAAACUGCAGAAACUUAUUAGGUUGCUUAAUCGAAUACCCAAGCUGACCAGGUAAAAAUCGUUCAUUCUAUCCCUGAGCAAGGCAGUUAACCCACUGUUCCCUGGGUGCCGAAGACGUCAAUGUCAAUUAAGGCAGCCCCCUCCACCUCUCUAAUUCAGAGGGCUUGGGUUAAAUGCAGAAGACACAUUUCAGUUGAAUACAUUCAGUUUGACAACUGAUAUAAUUCAUAUGAACAGGUUACUGCAGUUUGACAGUUGCAACCAUAGACUAUUAUGUUGAUUGAUUAAUUCCAGUUAAUUCCAGAUAAUAAUUUUGGAUUGAAAACGUAUAGGCAUACCUGAGUACAGUGGAAAGCCUGCUUGAGCAUUCUGCGUCAACCUCGCUCUUUAAUCUAACUUUUUAUGGAUGAUGCGAUGGAAGCUAUUGAAUUGAUUUCGACAUCUCAGAAAAAGACAGUAGACUGUAGAAAGUUCCAUAUGUUCAGCAAGUAAAUCAUCGCAAUGUGCAGUUAUCGCUGCAAGCUCCUUUUAGUUGCACUUGUUAGAGGAACAUUCCCUCUUGUUGUGUCCUCUAAAAGCCUAUUCUUGCAGGCCCAAAAACACACUGGUAUUGAUAAGCCGCUUGAGAACAUCCCUGUUUCUUCUUACUUUCUCAUAUGUUGCGCAGCUUGAAUACAUAGACCUUCUUCAUGAUCAAUGUAGCUUUUUCCCAGAAGCUUGAAUCUGAUGUGGACAUUUAUAUGCUCCCUGCUUUUGUUUUGACGUUUAGCUGAACGAUUGAUGUUCUUCAGGUCACUGUACCCCUCUUUCACCCAAGGCUGACUUUCCAAAAAGCAGGCAAGGCCUGCAAUACAGGCGGCUUGAUGAAAGGCUCCCUGUUAACCAGCUAUACUUUUGAUAUCAAUUCGUAUUGAACGCCCUCACCUUUUCAUAUUUCUUCAUGAAACUGAUCUCAGGCAGAGGUCAAACCUCGGUUUUAAUUCACACCUUUUCCGUGUACCCCAGAGAAUGAAAGGGGUUCUUCAACAAAAAGUCAACAUUUUCCAGCACACUGGAGCUGGUAGCUAGCAAAAAGAAAGUUCUAAAACCAAGAAAACAAUGUAUAAUCUACGUCCACCAUCUCCUGUGAUUUGAAGAAACUAAUUUGAAUUGAAUAAUAUCCAAAAAUUGCUCAACUAUCACUUUUCAAUCUCUAUCCAAUAAUGUCACCAACUCACCAAGCUUCUCCACACAUAGACCCGCCCCGCCCUAUAAUGCUCUUUGGCACAACCCCAAUACAACACACUAGGUUCAUUCUCUGAUCCUAAUCCUAUGAUUGGAUGGACAACAUAUCAGUUCAUACUGCAAAAGCUUUGAUUGGUUGGAGGUCGUCCUCCGGAAGUGGUCAUAAUUACCAUGUAGGUCUAUGGAAGGGGGUGAGGCCUACGAGCCUACUAGGUUUUGUAUUGAAGUCAAUGUACCCAGAGGAGGACAGAAGCUAGCUAGCUAAACCAUGUGCUACCCCAGCGAGUGCUUUUGAAGUUACUAUAGACCUUCAUUGCAAAACAGUGUUUUCUAAUCUGUUUCUGGUGACAUGUGAAUAUAUUUAGUGUAGUUUUAUCUAAACAGGAAAACAUUUUUAGUUUCUAUUUUUAUUUCUAUGAAAUGUCACUGAGAAGGAUGGUCGGUCCUCUCCUUCCUCCUCUAAGGAGCCUCCACUGGUGUAUGUGUUGUGUGUGAGAGAGUGAAUUGAUUUAUACAUCCGUGUGUGUUAUCAAGCCGUAUAGAUUACUGCUUGUCAUAUAAAGUGAUAGUAUUUUUAGCAGCAGUGAUACAUCACUCCCUUCACACUGGAGCUCUGCCAUGUAGAAUGCUUGUGUGAUAUCCAUCAUAUUACAAAUGUCAACUCCUUUAAACAAGAUUUGAGCAUCUAAUUUGACAGGACACAUACAUAAUUUGACCAAGUCAGGAAAAGUUACAGCAUUACAGAUUUUUUCCUGGUCAAAUUACAUUCUCUUAUUGACACAUUAUGUGGUGUAUUUAACCUCUAUGUGUCCAGCACUAUGCUUCACCAUCCACUGAGCCAUACACUAUGGACGUUCACACUUUGACUCAGUUUGGUCAGGGAAAGGAUUUUAUAAUGAGAUUGAAUUAUAAUCUUUCUCUCCAACCCACCAGGUGCUAAGGGUUAUGGGUAACAUUUCCCAUCAGGGAAGAGAUUACUGCCCCCCCCAUUAAAACAUUAAAACAUUAAAACAUUCUUCUUCUUCUUCUUCUGUUGGGGGAGGAGUUUGUGAGGCAGAGUGGGCUCCCCCUGCUGGAAGCCACCCAGUAUAACAGCCAGGAUAAUUUACACCUCAGAGCAACACACCUGCUGGUACAUCCCCUGCCCCCACGGUGGGGACUCUUGCCCUAACACAGGCUGUGUUCGUGUGUAUGUCCAGACUUUUAAGAGUGCUUUGUUCUGUUGUUAAAGCUGGAAACCUCUUCAUCCCCAUGAGGAACCUGCAGAACAGGAGUGCCACAAAAAAAAGACUUCCAAAUGUUUUAACAAGGUUUAGUCAGAAGACCUACCUACCAUGUACAUUUAAAAUGUUUUUA
This 4293-nucleotide long non-coding RNA is filed under the name Oncorhynchus kisutch (coho salmon). RNAcentral describes it as "lncRNA (ENSOKIG00005047225.1)". The record is from RNAcentral. Lineage: Eukaryota; Metazoa; Chordata; Actinopteri; Salmoniformes; Salmonidae.